RNAcentral lists this ribosomal RNA (604 nucleotides) under Halicyclops ovatus. RNAcentral's name for it is "bacterial SSU rRNA". It matches the Rfam family "Eukaryotic small subunit ribosomal RNA", at positions 1177 to 1797 of the family's 1831-position model. The record is from RNAcentral. Lineage: Eukaryota; Metazoa; Arthropoda; Copepoda; Cyclopoida; Cyclopidae.
UGGAGCCUGCGGCUUAAUUUGACUCAACACGGGAAAUCUCACCAGGCCCGGACACCGGAAGGAUUGACAGAUUGAGAGCUCUUUCUCGAUUCGGUGGGUGGUGGUGCAUGGCCGUUCUUAGUUGGUGGAGUGAUUUGUCUGGUUAAUUCCGAUAACGAACGAGACUCCGUCCUGCUAAAUAGUCGCCGCGUUGCUUUUCUCUGCGCGGCGUAUUCUUCUUAGAGGGACUGGCGGCAUCUAGCCGCACGAGAUGGAGCAAUAACAGGUCUGUGAUGCCCUUAGAUGUUCUGGGCUGCACGCGCGCUACACUGAAGGGAUCAGCGUGUGUUUCCCCUUCCCGAGAGGGACGGGUAACCCGCUGAACCCCCUUCGUGGUAGGGAUCGGAGCUUGCAAUUGUUCUCCGUGAACCAGGAAUGCCCAGUAAGCGCAAGUCAUAAGCUUGCGUUGAUUACGUCCCUGCCCUUUGUACACACCGCCCGUCGCUACUACCGAUUGAACGUUUUAGUGAGGUAUUUGGACCGGGCCUUCGGAGGUUUGCGCCUCUGUUGUUGCCUGGGAAGACUCCCGAACUUGAGCGUUUAGAGGAAGUAAAAGUCGUAACAA